Long non-coding RNA from Ictalurus punctatus (channel catfish), 3696 nucleotides. RefSeq lists it as uncharacterized. The transcript is spliced from 3 exons. Lineage: Eukaryota; Metazoa; Chordata; Actinopteri; Siluriformes; Ictaluridae. The record is from RefSeq and is a predicted model, not a curated record.
GCGGCGUCGGAAAUUUCCGCUCGAGAGCAGCUUGCAGGUUUAAAUUGGGUAGUUGGGGAGGCACAAGUACGGGCUCGCAGCUCCUUUCCCCGGUGUUGCCAGAUUCUGGAGUCUUCUGGUGGCUUGUGUGAGAAAGGAUUAUUAUUGCGUGUGUAGGACCAGCCUAUAUAGCCUAUAGGUCCACCUCUGAGACUUCAGUGUCCUUCACUGAGGACAUCAUAGCUACAAUAUUGCCAGAUUACACUUUUUAAAAUUUUGUUUGAGGUCUUCUGUGAGUGAUAGUGGUUCUAGAUCACUUCGUCAUGCUCUCUGUCUGUCCAGCCUGUUCUUAUCUGAAUACACAGAAUGUCUCUGUCCCUGUUCUGACACAAUAAUACUCUGUUCAUAGUUAGGUCAAGCAAUGAACAACAGCCAGACCUCCACCCUCUUCUUCCUUUUCUGUAUAUGUAUACUCUGAUUAUAUCAGCACUGAACUAAGAAACUAAGAAACCUUAACUUGUUUCUCAGGGGGGGAAAAAAAGGAAAACUUACAUUAAGACUUGUAAAUGGACUGUAAUUAGUUUUCAAAGUAAAGCUACUGUUAACUUAAAAUGUAGAGCGGUCGAGGCUUUGGGCUGCAGGAAAACUCAUGAUGUCCUUUUGGAGUCCAUCCAUCCAUUUUCUAUAUCACUUUUCCUACAGGGCCACGGGGAACCUGGAGCCUAUCCCAGCGAGCAUAGAUAAAGAGAUAGAUAGAUAGAUAGAGCAUGGUAGAUAGAUAGAUAGACCAUGGGGCACAAGGCGGGGUACACCCUUGACAGGGCACCAAUCACAUACAUGUUCACAGACCCAUUAAUACACUAUAGACACUUCAGACAUGCCAAUCAGCCUACCAUGCAUGUCUUUGGACUGGAGAAGGAAACCAGAGUAUCCAGAGGAAACCCCCACAGCACUGGGAGAACAUGCAAACUCCACACACACACACACACACACACACACACACACACACACACACACACACACACACACACAGGGCAGAGUGGGAAUCAAACCCCCAACGCUGGAGGUGUUAACACAAACGUGCUAACCACUAAGCCACCAUGUGCCUCCCUUUUGGAGUCAUUUGUCUAACUUGUUUAUAUUUUUCACUAUUUCUCAGAAAUAAAGCUACUUUCGUAACUGAUGUGGCGCCAUUUCAUUAAAAUACCUUUUAAUAUUCAUCUUUCACCUGGAAAUGUGAAUAUAGUGUGUCUUUUUAAAUAAUACAAAAUAAGACCACUGUUAAAGCCAGUCAAAAGUACACCACAUGCUGGUGAAAACUAUUUAAUUCGAAAAGACACACACACACACACACACACACACACACACACACACACACACACACAAGAGAAUGCCAGUGAGAGGUCAUGACCUCAAAGGUCAGAAGUUGUGAAAAGUGUGUGGCAGAUGGUACUGCUGGAUUAGGGUUUGGUUACUUGUGAGGAACAACAACAAUAAUUCAUUCAUUCAAACAGGAGAGUGCGGAUGUAGAUGAGAACAGUGUGGCCUGAUUGCUUUAAGAAUCACAGUAUAUGAUGCAAUGAUACCCUCUGCAAACAUCAUCACAGUUUAACACAACUUUACUGCUGGCAGGGUUGCCAGAUAGUUGCUUUUGGUGUAAAUCGAGCAGAAGAUGAUGUGCUUGGCUGUUCUGUAUUAACUGAGGUUGAUUUUUACUACAGUAAUUUUCCAACUGAACGUUAUCUCGGGAAGGUUUUCAACAAACUGUGCUACAGUAGCUCAUCUGCGGGAUCGGACCAGACGGUCUAGCCUUCGCUCCCUAUUUGCAUCAAUAAGCCUUGGGAACCCAGGUCCCUGUUUUCGGUUCACCACUUUUGGUAGGUACUAACCACUGCAUACCAAGAACACCCCACAAGACCAGCAGUUUUGGAGACGCUGUGACCCAGUCGUCUAGCCAUCACAAUUUGGCCCUUGUCAAAGUCGCUCAGGUCCUUACACUAUCCCAUUUUCCCUGCUAACAACACAUCAAUUUCGAGAACUGACUGUUCAGUUGCUGCUUAAUAUAUCCCGCUCCUCUACAGGUGCCACUGUCAGUGGUUCUAAUGUUAUGGCUGAUCGGUGCAAAUAAUAAUAAUAAUAACAAUAAUAGAUAUAAGUAUCAUUCAUUCAUUCAAACAACAGAGUGUGAGUGUAGAUGAUGACAGUGUGGCCUGAUUCCUGGUCCCACAAUUCCGAAAAAAGGGGUAAGUAUCAUACCUAAGAAUACAUGAUGCAAUGGUGCCCUCUGCAUACAUCAACACGAAUCAACAUAGCUUUACAGGGUUGCCAGAUAGAUAGCUUUUACAUGCUUUUUUGUGUGUAUAUUGCGAGUUCUUCAGAAAAUGAUGUGUUUGGAUGAGAUUCCUUAACUGAGGUUGAUUUUUACUACAGUAGUUUAACAACAUGAGGUCCACUCAGUAUCAUCUCAAUAAGUCUCUCUCUCUCUCUCUCUCUCUCUCUCUCUCUCUCUCUCUCCCCAUGAGAGCGUUUGUCUUGUUCAUUAGGGGAUCUAAAGCCACUGACGGAGAUCUGGCGCCCUCUUGAGGCGGAUGUGCACAGUGGGAAAUUCAGGCCUCCGCAGAGAUUAUUAGUUCAUGAAGAUCAGCUGAGAAGCGCGCGACUACCUCUGGUCUAUGCGGUGCUGGAUGUGCUGGCAUCCUGUCGAGCUGUUGAAAAUGGAGAGAAGUCUGAAAGAGUCAUGAUAAGAAAGUUCCCCCCCGCAGUAGGGUGCGCGGUAAUGUGGGCGAUGCACUCGUACUGACAACCGCGUUGCUCUUUAAGUUCGGAGUGUGUGAUCAAUAAAACAUGUGCUCUGUGCACAGUGCUGGUGUGCGGUACUGGUUUGAGCUGUGCGUACGUGGGAGGAAUGGGAAAACUCCAAGUCUGCCUGUUAGAUCUCUGGCGAAUGGAGACGGAUGAUAAGACACACUUUUGCCCAACGUUGAGUUUUACACUGAUGAAACUCACCACUCAGCGUCCGGUCCUCUUACAAUCCAACCCCUGAUCAUAACACUGGUGCUAACUUCCGCCUUCAUCAAAUGCAUAUAAAUAAUACUGUAGCUUUCAGUUAUUUGUACGUAAAUGCAGUGUGUGUGUGUGUGUGUGUGUGUGUGUGUGUGUGUGUGUAAGAAAAAGGUUCUACAUCUCUCUCUCUUGCUCUUUCUACGCUUCUCUGACUGAAAUACAACUGUAUGAUAUGACCUCUCGAUGAUAUGAUUUCUCCGUCUGCGUGCAUGAGAUGAUGUUUUAAAUCUGUAACAGUAAUCGCACUUAUAUACCCACUCACACACACACACACACACACACACACACACACACACACACACACACACACACACAAGGUGUAAUUAAAAGCUUGAGCUCUCCCGAGACUCGAAUUUCCUUAAUGUGUCAGAGCUGAGUGAGAAGCUUCCUCAACAUACGCGCGCACACACACACACACACACACACACACACACACACAAAAUGAGAGUAGGUGGUUAAUGAAAUUACAGAAGAGCGACUAAAUAUGCGAUUAAAGAGCCGUAUAGUCCAACUGCCCUCAUUCGAAUUUACUAAGUGCAGUUAAAGUGAUGAAUGCAGUCACCGGGUCUGAUGUUCCUCUGCUCCUGAUUGGUCCGUGCUGGAUAAGGAGCGUGUUUAUUUAACACUGUUGGAAGGAGUCUCCAGUAACAGAGC